RNAcentral lists this ribosomal RNA (253 nucleotides) under uncultured bacterium. RNAcentral's name for it is "partial 16S ribosomal RNA". It matches the Rfam family "Bacterial small subunit ribosomal RNA", at positions 524 to 776 of the family's 1533-position model. The record is from RNAcentral.
UACAGAGGUCUCAAGCGUUGUUCGGAUUCAUUGGGCGUAAAGGGUGCGUAGGCUGUUCCGUAAGUCGGAUGUGAAAUCCUGGGGCUCAACCUCAGAACUGCAUUCGAUACUGCGGGGCUGGAGGACUGGAGAGGAGACUGGAAUUCACGGUGUAGCAGUGAAAUGCGUAGAUAUCGUGAGGAAGACCAGUGGCGAAGGCGGGUCUCUGGACAGUUCCUGACGCUGAGACGCGAAAGCCAGGGGAGCGAACGGG